RNAcentral lists this transfer RNA (72 nucleotides) under Ignavibacteria bacterium. Its description in RNAcentral is "tRNA-Gln". It matches the Rfam family "tRNA". From Rfam's summary of the family: Transfer RNA (tRNA) molecules are approximately 80 nucleotides in length. Their secondary structure includes four short double-helical elements and three loops (D, anti-codon, and T loops). Further hydrogen bonds mediate the characteristic L-shaped molecular structure. tRNAs have two regions of fundamental functional importance: the anti-codon, which is responsible for specific mRNA codon recognition, and the 3' end, to which the tRNAs corresponding amino acid is attached (by aminoacyl-tRNA synthetases). tRNAs cope with the degeneracy of the genetic code in two manners: having more than one tRNA (with a specific anti-codon) for a particular amino acid; and 'wobble' base-pairing, i.e. permitting non-standard base-pairing at the 3rd anti-codon position. Lineage: Bacteria; Pseudomonadati; Ignavibacteriota; Ignavibacteria. The record is from RNAcentral.
UGGGAUGUCGCCAAGCGGUAAGGCACUAGACUCUGGAUCUGGCAUUCGUGGGUUCGAAUCCUACCAUCCCAG